This 63-nucleotide transfer RNA is filed under the name Synechococcus sp. BE0807J. Its description in RNAcentral is "tRNA-Ala". It matches the Rfam family "tRNA", at positions 1 to 61 of the family's 71-position model. Rfam says of the family: Transfer RNA (tRNA) molecules are approximately 80 nucleotides in length. Their secondary structure includes four short double-helical elements and three loops (D, anti-codon, and T loops). The record is from RNAcentral. RNAcentral also lists the same sequence under 3 other names. Lineage: Bacteria; Bacillati; Cyanobacteriota; Cyanophyceae; Synechococcales; Synechococcaceae.
GGGGGUUUAGCUCAGUUGGUAGAGCGCCUGCUUUGCAAGCAGGAUGUCAGCGGUUCGAGUCCG